UGGGGAAUAUUGGACAAUGGGCGGAAGCCCGAUCCAGCAACGCCGCGUGAGGGAUGACGGCCUUCGGGUUGUAAACCUCUUUCGGUAGGGACGAAGCGCAAGUGACGGUACCUACUAAAGAAGCACCGGCCAACUACGUG
This 140-nucleotide ribosomal RNA is filed under the name uncultured bacterium. RNAcentral's name for it is "partial 16S ribosomal RNA". It matches the Rfam family "Bacterial small subunit ribosomal RNA", at positions 355 to 507 of the family's 1533-position model. The record is from RNAcentral.